CUCUGUGACUCCUACGGGAGGCAGCAGUGGGGAAUAUUGCACAAUGGGCGCAAGCCUGAUGCAGCCAUGCCGCGUGUGUGAAGAAGGCCUUCGGGUUGUAAAGUACUUUCAGCAGUGAGGAAGGCGGAGUCGUUAAUAGCGGCCUCGUUUGACGUUAGCUGCAGAAGAAGCACCGGCUAACUCCGUGCCAGCAGCCGCGGUAAUACGGAGGGUGCGAGCGUUAAUCGGAAUUACUGGGCGUAAAGCGCAUGCAGGUGGUUUGUUAAGUCAGAUGUGAAAGCCCGGGGCUCAACCUCGGAAUUGCAUUUGAAACUGGCAGACUAGAGUACUGUAGAGGGGGUAGAAUUUCAGGUGUAGCGGUGAAAUGCGUAGAGAUCUGAAGGAAUACCGGUGGCGAAGGCGGCCCCCUGGACAGAUACUGACACUCAGAUGCGAAAGCGUGGGGAGCAAACAGGAUUAGAUACCCUGGUAG
RNAcentral lists this ribosomal RNA (472 nucleotides) under uncultured bacterium. Its description in RNAcentral is "bacterial SSU rRNA". It matches the Rfam family "Bacterial small subunit ribosomal RNA", at positions 328 to 793 of the family's 1533-position model. The record is from RNAcentral.